CAGUCGCCACGGUAAUACGAAGGGGGCUAGCGUUGCUCGGAAUGACUGGGCGUAAAGGGCGCGUAGGCGGAUUGUUUAGUUAGGCGUGAAAUUCCUGGGCUUAACCUGGGGACUGCGCUUAAUACAGGCAGUCUAGAGUGAGGAAGAGGGUUGUGGAAUUCCCAGUGUAGAGGUGAAAUUCGUAGAUAUUGGGAAGAACACCGGUGGCGAAGGCGGCAACCUGGUCCUUGACUGACGCUGAGGCGCGAAAGCGUGGGGAGCAAACAGGAUUAGAUACCCCUGUAGUCCCUGUCUCUUAUAC
This 301-nucleotide ribosomal RNA is filed under the name uncultured bacterium. RNAcentral's name for it is "partial 16S ribosomal RNA". It matches the Rfam family "Bacterial small subunit ribosomal RNA", at positions 509 to 807 of the family's 1533-position model. The record is from RNAcentral.